Molecule: ribosomal RNA, 420 nt
Filed under: uncultured euryarchaeote
Lineage: Archaea; Methanobacteriati; Methanobacteriota
Description: bacterial SSU rRNA
Rfam family: Archaeal small subunit ribosomal RNA
Source: RNAcentral
CAGCCGCCGCGGUAAAACCAGCACCUCAAGUGGUCAGGAUGAUUAUUGGGCCUAAAGCAUCCGUAGCCGGCUCUGUAAGUUUUCGGUUAAAUCUGUACGCUUAACGUACAGGCUGCCGGGAAUACUGCAAAGCUAGGGAGUGGGAGAAGUAGACGGUACUCGGUGGGAAGUGGUAAAAUGCUUUGAUCUAUCGAUGACCACCUGUGGCGAAGGCGGUCUACUAGAACACGUCCGACGGUGAGGGAUGAAAGCUGGGGGAGCAAACCGGAUUAGAUACCCGGGUAGUCCCAGCUGUAAACUAUGCAAACUCAGUGAUGCAUUGGCUUGUGGCCAAUGCAGUGCUGCAGGGAAGCCGUUAAGUUUGCCGCCUGGGAAGUACGUACGCAAGUAUGAAACUUAAAGGAAUUGGCGGGGGAGCAC